CUGAGAUAACUGCCCUACGGGUAGAACUCACACCCUUGAAUACAAUACCUUUUGUUGCUUUGGCGGGCCCCAGGCUCCGGCACACCGGCUUUGGCUGGUGAGUGCCCGCCAGAGAACCCGAAAUUCUUGAAUAUUAGUAUCGUCUGAGUAAAAUUAAAAUUAUUUA
Molecule: unclassified non-coding RNA, 166 nt
Filed under: uncultured Helotiales
Lineage: Eukaryota; Fungi; Ascomycota; Leotiomycetes; Helotiales
Description: sequence contains ITS1
Source: RNAcentral